RNAcentral lists this ribosomal RNA (23 nucleotides) under Phytomonas sp. Aca. RNAcentral describes it as "partial small subunit ribosomal RNA". Lineage: Eukaryota; Euglenozoa; Kinetoplastea; Trypanosomatida; Trypanosomatidae. The record is from RNAcentral.
GUGAACCUGCAGCUGGAUCAUUU